AGUGAAGGAGGCUGCCUGGGGUCUUGCCCGCUAUGCUGCCAUUUCUCAAGUAUAGCACCCCAAACAAAUUGCUGUAUUGCUACCUGUUGUUUAUAAUCUCUACUUGCUGAUUAAGAUUUUGUUACUUGGAUCUUGUAGGACAAUGGAUUGGUCCCAAUUGUGGAGCCAGAAAUCUUGCUUGAUGGUGAGCAUGGCAUUGACAGGACUUUCGAAGUAGCCCAGAAGGUUUGGGCUGAGGUUUUCUUCUACAUGGCAGAGAACAAUGUCAUGUUUGAGGGUAUUCUUCUCAAGCCUAGUAUGGUCACUCCUGGUGCUGAAUGCAAGGACAGGGCCACCCCUGAACAAGUUGCUGAGUACACACUCAAGCUCCUUCAGAGGAGAAUCCCCCCAUCCGUCCCUGGAAUCAUGGCAAGUUGCAUUUCAACUUUCAUUCACAGUUUUACUUCUUUUUUUGCAUGAAGUGUUAAAAUUUCGGCUUAUCAAGAUUAACAUGCUUUAGGCAGGACGGCUUCUUUAGCAAUAAUAGUGAAACAUGUACUGAUCAUGGAUUAUUUUUUGAGCAGUUUUUGUCUGGUGGGCAAUCCGAGGUUGAAGCAACCCUGAACCUCAACGCAAUGAACCAGUCUGCAAACCCAUGGCACGUGUCUUUCUCAUAUGCUAGAGCUCUCCAGAACACUUGCUUGAAGACAUGGGGAGGCAGGCCAGAGAACGUGAAUGCAGCUCAGGAAGCACUUCUCAUCCGUGCCAAGGCCAACUCUCUUGCUCAGCUUGGCAAGUACACCGGUGAGGGAGAGUCAGAUGAAGCCAAGAAAGGAAUGUUCGUCAAGAACUACGCCUACUAAGCUCUGUUGUGAUUGAAAUCUAUAGAUGAAGAAGAUGGGGAUCCGAGGGAGCAACUGCAACACUAAUUUAUCUAAAUGUUUAAAAGAUUUUAUAGCCAUG
RNAcentral lists this long non-coding RNA (942 nucleotides) under Populus trichocarpa (black cottonwood). RNAcentral describes it as "long non-coding RNA (PTRI_LNC001282)". The record is from RNAcentral. Lineage: Eukaryota; Viridiplantae; Streptophyta; Magnoliopsida; Malpighiales; Salicaceae.